Molecule: long non-coding RNA, 737 nt
Organism: Labeo rohita (rohu)
Lineage: Eukaryota; Metazoa; Chordata; Actinopteri; Cypriniformes; Cyprinidae
Exons: 3
Source: RefSeq, a predicted model, not a curated record
AAAGAACACAGUCUGUCACAGUUGAUGAAGAUGAUGAAGAUGACGAUGAAGAGACCACAUCUGCUGUGACAGAAGUGGACAAUGCUGGUAGAUCCACUGAGUACAUACCUGGGGAUUUGCCCACAGAUGAAGGUCCUUCAACCUCAAUGCACAAUCUAAGCAGUGUAAGAAUUUGUGUGCAGCUGUCCAUAUUUUAAUUUUAUUGUCUGACAGAAUCUCAUUUAUUUAUUUAUUUAUUUUUUUGCCUUCCUAGUUGCCAGCAAAGGAGCUGUAUAAGGGCCAUCUUCAAAAACAAAUAAGAAAAAGUGACAUGGAGAUGGACCUUAUACAGCUUCAAAUGGAGGAGAAAAGGCUAUCCAUUAAAAAAGCAACGCUAGAAAUUGAAUUACUGGAGCAUCGCCUUAAGGUGAGAACUUGUGUGAAUAUUAAUCUGCACGUUAAAAGUGUUGUCUAUAUAAAGCAAUGUAAUAAAAAAAAAAAAAAAAUGAUAAUUUUACUUUCAUUGUUUUUCAGGAAAUAAAGAAUGAACUGCACAGCAGACCAGUGCAAACAAUUUAAUAAAAGUAAUUUUGACAAAUCCUGUCUCUCAAAAGUCUUCCAUCUCUGUUGUGUGCAAAAAUCUGUAGGGGUUCCUCUGGGCCAUCUUCUUCAAUACAAGGAGGGUGGCUCUCUCCUCUUAUAGUGGCAAUGUUGUGAAGUACAACACAAGCCACUAUGAUGUCGCAUGCCCUCUCUGG